Molecule: ribosomal RNA, 89 nt
Filed under: Salmonella enterica subsp. enterica serovar Choleraesuis str. 0006
Lineage: Bacteria; Pseudomonadati; Pseudomonadota; Gammaproteobacteria; Enterobacterales; Enterobacteriaceae
Description: partial 16S ribosomal RNA
Rfam family: Bacterial small subunit ribosomal RNA
Source: RNAcentral
AAAUUGAAGAGUUUGAUCAUGGCUCAGAUUGAACGCUGGCGGCAGGCCUAACACAUGCAAGUCGAACGGUACAGGAAGCAGCUUGCUGC